UACGUAGGUGGCAAGCGUUGUCCGGAUUUAUUGGGUUUAAAGGGUGCGUAGGCGGCUUUGUAAGUCAGUGGUGAAAUACGGCAGCUCAACUGUCGAGGUGCCAUUGAUACUGCAGAGCUAGAGUACUGAUGAGGUAGGCGGAAUGGACGGUGUAGCGGUGAAAUGCUUAGAUAUCGUCCAGAACACCGAUAGCGAAGGCAGCUUACUAAAGAGUAACUGACGCUGAGGCACGAAAGUGUGGGGAUCAAAU
This 250-nucleotide ribosomal RNA is filed under the name uncultured bacterium. RNAcentral describes it as "partial 16S ribosomal RNA". It matches the Rfam family "Bacterial small subunit ribosomal RNA", at positions 524 to 773 of the family's 1533-position model. The record is from RNAcentral.